AGUUCCAGUAGACUGUUAAAAGGUCAGUUCUGAUCAGCUAAAUGUCAGUGGUGCCUCUGUGUGUGAUUCAGAUCUAAGACCCUGAGAACCAUCAACUACUGACCAAGCAGGCUGAAAACUAGCUGCACAUGAAGAGAGUCACUCCGAGCCGGGUAGGCUGGGAUUUUAUUUUUUCCAGCCCAGGAUGGCCUUGAAGACACUGUGUAGCUGAGACUUACCUCAGACUUUGAUUCUCCUACCUCUACCUCCAGAGUGCUGGCAGGUACAAACAGAGCUCAUAGCCCCGCCACCACCACCACCACCACCACCACCACCACCACCACCGCCACCACCGAGCCACCACCACCUCCACUCCAGCAGCAAGCCCAGGUAUGUCCCAGAGGAAGCUGGAGAUCUCAGAUGUCAAAUUAACUCCUAAGUAAUGAUCUAUGUUGAGACCCCAAACUCUCUCCAGAGCCUUGUACACACCCAACUUCUACUCUCUUAUGGUUGAGAUCUUGAAUAUCUUCCCUAAACAUCCAUGCCCCAAAGGCACCAUUGGGAGGUGGUUGUCUAUUUAAGAGGUGGGACUUGGUGGAAGGAAAUUAAAUCAUUGGGAGUGUGCCCCUGGGGUGGGGUCUCACAUUUUCCUCAAGUUUGUUACUUGCUCCCGGGCUGCCGGAAGGUAAUUAGCUUUGCUAUGCACAGAGAUGUAACUCAGAAAGCAAGGACUAAAAACUCUGAAACUAUAAACCAAUGUAAACCAUU
Molecule: non-coding RNA, 747 nt
Organism: Rattus norvegicus (Norway rat)
Lineage: Eukaryota; Metazoa; Chordata; Mammalia; Rodentia; Muridae
Source: RefSeq, a predicted model, not a curated record